UACAGAGGUCUCAAGCGUUGUUCGGAUUCUUUGGGCGUAAAGGGUGCGUAGGCGGCGCGGUAAGUCGGGUGUGAAAUCUCGGAGCUUAACUCCGAAACUGCAUUCGAUACUGCCGUGCUUGAGGACUGGAGAGGAGACUGGAAUUUACGGUGUAGCGGUGAAAUGCGUAGAUAUCGUAAGGAAGACCAGUGGCGAAGGCGGGUCUCUGGACAGUUCCUGACGCUGAGGCACGAAGGUCAGGGGAGCAAACGGG
This 253-nucleotide ribosomal RNA is filed under the name uncultured bacterium. Its description in RNAcentral is "partial 16S ribosomal RNA". It matches the Rfam family "Bacterial small subunit ribosomal RNA", at positions 524 to 776 of the family's 1533-position model. The record is from RNAcentral.